Molecule: unclassified non-coding RNA, 205 nt
Filed under: Hevea brasiliensis (rubber tree)
Lineage: Eukaryota; Viridiplantae; Streptophyta; Magnoliopsida; Malpighiales; Euphorbiaceae
Source: RNAcentral
GACCCAGCAGCCGUUCUCUUUACACGCCCCUCCUUUCUCCUUCCUUCACUGCUUCACCUCCUUAAAACACCGCUGUUCUACAAACCCUAACGCAACUCUCCAUUCCCAAAACUUCCGGCCAUGGCGACUGCAACAGCACCACGACAACUCUCGCAGAAGGAGGCCGACAUCCAGAUGAUGUUGGCCGCCGAGGUUCAUCUUGGCA